This is a long non-coding RNA of Xiphophorus couchianus (Monterrey platyfish), 523 nucleotides long. RefSeq lists it as uncharacterized. The transcript is spliced from 2 exons. The record is from RefSeq and is a predicted model, not a curated record. Lineage: Eukaryota; Metazoa; Chordata; Actinopteri; Cyprinodontiformes; Poeciliidae.
CACAUCUCGAAAAUAACAGCGCCAUGUUGCUUAUGCUGCGAUGCAUUCUGGGUAGAUUAUCGUAUGCUAGGCGCUACAGCGCUCGGUCCAGCCACAACAGUAAUUUUUGUGAAAUAAGUAACGUUUAGUUCUUUGAAUUUGAACUGGAGCGCGUUUAGAAUGUAGAACUGACGAGAGGAAUGAAAAUAAGGACCAAACAGAUGAAGAAUCGGUUGAAACAGUCCGUGUUUGUGCUGCUGCGGCUAGGAAAUGCUAACGCAGACCGAGUCCGUUAGCAGUGAAGAGCUAAUUCAAGCUAUUUACGUACUGGAGAACAAUGAGAACAGAACCUUUCACUUAUUGAUUGCAUAAGUUGUCCAGGCUGCCAGUUACAUGAGAAGAAGAGUUUGGAAAGAGAUGCAACUCCACCUACUGCAAUCUGUUUUCGAUCUGGCCGUACAUUCGGAUCCCAGGAGGCCAGAAAAAUGCAACCUGAGAAUCCUGCAGAGAGCAGAAUGGAAAUAAAAACCACAGCAGCUUCUGC